UAAAAAGGUAAAAGGAAGUGCUAAGGAG
RNAcentral lists this non-coding RNA (28 nucleotides) under Rattus norvegicus (Norway rat). Lineage: Eukaryota; Metazoa; Chordata; Mammalia; Rodentia; Muridae. The record is from RNAcentral.